Hyaena hyaena (striped hyena) is the source of this 410-nucleotide long non-coding RNA. RefSeq lists it as uncharacterized. The record is from RefSeq and is a predicted model, not a curated record. The transcript has 3 exons. NCBI's taxonomy places the organism in Eukaryota, Metazoa, Chordata, Mammalia, Carnivora, Hyaenidae.
AAGAGUGGGUCACGUGAGUACAUGGCUGAAAGGCAGCCACCUACAAGCCAAGAAUACAGGGCUCAAAGUAAACCAGCAGCUUAAUACAGGGCUCCUAGUUUCCAGCACUGUGAGAGUUAAGUGUUGGCUCAAGCCAAGGGAUUAGACUCUGACUGCAUCUCUACAUAGACGUCGAAUCAGACUAUGGGAUGGCUUUCCUGAACUCAUAUGCCCAGAUGAGAAGCAGGAAGAACUGGGGAGGAGGCAAACUUGACCCAAAGCUGACCCUCUGCCUUCUCACCGGUGCCUCCUGUCUCCUCUGCCUAGCAAGGGGAGGGCCCGGAGGCCCUGCUCUCUUCCUCAGGAGUAGAGUAUCGCAAGAGUCACUGAAGGUUUGAGAUAACUCAGCUAACACCCUUGGUCCCAUUAAU